RNAcentral lists this ribosomal RNA (495 nucleotides) under uncultured bacterium. Its description in RNAcentral is "partial 16S ribosomal RNA". It matches the Rfam family "Bacterial small subunit ribosomal RNA", at positions 28 to 507 of the family's 1533-position model. The record is from RNAcentral.
GACGAACGCUGGCGGCGUGCCUAAUACAUGCAAGUAGAACGCUGAAGGAGGAGCUUGCUUCUCUGGAUGAGUUGCGAACGGGUGAGUAACGCGUAGGUAACCUGCCUGGUAGCGGGGGAUAACUAUUGGAAACGAUAGCUAAUACCGCAUAAUAUUGACUAUUGCAUGAUAGUCAGUUGAAAGGUGCAACUGCACCACUACCAGAUGGACCUGCGUUGUACUAGCUAGUUGGUGGGGUAACGGCUCACCAAGGCGACGAUACAUAACCGACCUGAGAGGGUGAUCGGCCACACUGGGACUGAGACACGGCCCAGACUCCUACGGGAGGCAGCAGUAGGGAAUCUUCGGCAAUGGACGGAAGUCUGACCGAGCAACGCCGCGUGAGUGAAGAAGGUUUUCGGAUCGUAAAGCUCUGUUGUAAGAGAAGAACGAGUGUGAGAGUGGAAAGCUCACACUGUGACGGUAUCUUACCAGAAAGGGACGGCUAACUACGUG